GUAUCUGAAGCCUGACGAGGAUGAGAACCUCCGGGGGCAAGAGGUUCGACUCGAGCGAAGCGAGAGAACGUUGCGUCAGCAACGGCCCGCAGUGGCAAGUCAUCCUCUGUCACCGGCAG
Molecule: non-coding RNA, 119 nt
Organism: Salmonella enterica subsp. enterica serovar Enteritidis
Lineage: Bacteria; Pseudomonadati; Pseudomonadota; Gammaproteobacteria; Enterobacterales; Enterobacteriaceae
Source: Rfam